CCCUACAUCACAUUUUUUGCUUAGCUUUUCUUUUCGAGAAAAGGAUGGUGGUGGCUCUUAUCUCCAUUUUAUCAUUGAACAAAAUAUGUGUAAAAAUAUUUUUAAAGAGCUUCUUUUGUGAAAUCAUCUGCAACUCUGUAUUUGGCACCUUUUGGUAGGUUUUUGAAGUGGGAUUUCAUAAAUUCUUUAUCCUGAAAGGUACCUUUGCAAUAAUUAGCCUUGGUUGCACUUUCUUUUUGAUUCUUUGCAGUAUUAGGGCGUGUAGGUAUUCUGUAACUCUCUCUUAAGUUCAUCCUCGAUUCAAAUGAUACAUUAUGGACUGUGCAACAGACCAAACAACUGACCGACCAACUGAAGGGUGCAGUUUUAUGGAAAACUGUUGUAAGGCUAUGUGAUUGACAGAUGAUAUCUUAUUUCAGAGAUGUAUUUCAAGCAGCACUCAGGAAGGUGCCAGGCAUAACUAAAGAAUCAGACAAAAGAUUAAUAGAAGCUUUGAUGGCUACCUUCAAAAGGCGCAUGCACUUCCAGUUGCUGUGUUUUCAAGUGGAUAUGGAGGAACUUUAACCCUGACAGUUAAACUGAAGUAUCACAGUAAAAAUGAAGUAUUGAAAGUAACUCUCUUGUCAUGAAAAAAAUAUUAUUUUAAAUAGUUUAAAAAACAUAAUUAAUAUGUAGCUUAUUGAAAGCUAAAGUCUUGGUAAAUGCAUGGAUGUUAUGUCAUUGUUGACCUCACAAAGAAUUAAUUACGACAAGUUUAAUGAAAAGACAAAAGCAGGGGGUUUUUUGUCAAGCAAGGUUGUUUUAUUUUGAAUGCAAUUUGUGUGAGAGGUUUACUGACUCAAUAAGAAUUGCAGUAUUACACUCAUCUCCUCAGUUCUUAUUAUCUUAUUGCUACUUAUUUUCAUGGGAACUUAAUUUUGCAAAAAAUAAAACGGGCAUAUUGCUACAUUCAUAUAGGUGAAAAGGAACAAAAUGUCACAAAAAUUGUCGAAAUAGUGAUCUUUAUUAUGAAAUAGUUAGUCUCAUACACUGUAAUUGGCUCAAUUGAUUUCCCAUAACAAUAGUUUCCAGUGACAUUGAACAAAACCAUAUAACAACAUAAAACUGAAAACAUUUAGACAUGCUCCUUUGUAACAAAGCAGGGCUUUACAGAUUACAUGACACUGUCUAUUUACACUUACAACAGAGCUAAGGACAUUGUUAACUUGUCAACUUCUUCAAAUAGAUCCUGGGAGGAAUAGCUGACUCAUCCUUUACAAUCCCAACAUUUACUGCUUUAUCCUUAGGCAGCAUAGUGCUUUUCCUCAUUGCUAGUCAAGGGGUUGUAAAGGCUUGAUUCCAAUGUUGAUUGUGGAAUUAUAUAGCAGCUAGGGCAUUAAAUUUCAUGUGGUUAAUCUUUGCAAAAUUAUUUUUCGCGGGUCUGUAAUUUUGCAAUUGUUUGAAAAUCACAAAAGUUAAGUCUCGUGAAAAUAAGUAGCAAUAAGGUUAGACAUGAUCAGUAAUAAAGUACAUUUUUUACUGUUUAA
Orbicella faveolata is the source of this 1526-nucleotide long non-coding RNA. The record is from RefSeq and is a predicted model, not a curated record. NCBI's taxonomy places the organism in Eukaryota, Metazoa, Cnidaria, Anthozoa, Scleractinia, Merulinidae.